This 207-nucleotide ribosomal RNA is filed under the name uncultured bacterium. Its description in RNAcentral is "partial 16S ribosomal RNA". It matches the Rfam family "Bacterial small subunit ribosomal RNA", at positions 568 to 774 of the family's 1533-position model. The record is from RNAcentral.
UGCGCAGGCGGCUUUGUAAGUCAGAUGUGAAAUCCCCGGGCUUAACCUGGGAAUUGCGUUUGAAACUACAAAGCUAGAGUGUAGCAGAGGGGGGUGGAAUUCCAUGUGUAGCAGUGAAAUGCGUAGAGAUAUGGAAGAACAUCGAUGGCGAAGGCAGCCCCCUGGGUUAACACUGACGCUCAUGCACGAAAGCGUGGGGAGCAAACA